GCGUUGCUCUUCCGGUCUUUUCGGAUAUCGGCCCGGGAAGCGAGGGCAGCUGUGUGUUAAGGAGAAGAGGAAAACUAGAGAAAGAACCCAGAGUAAAACCUGUGAAAAAGGAAAAAGAGUCGGAGCACUUACCCAGUAGAGGUCCGGAGCCAAGUGGCUGAACGAAGGAGAGUUACGUCGGCUAACUGCUUGCCUGUCCGCCGGAGAGCUGCUACGAGGUUCGGCAUCGGCAUGCUCCAUCUUGAUACACAGAGCAACGGUCAGGUUUUUUUUAGAGGACUGAGAGUCUGAGGUUCAGGACAACUUCCUGCUGUGAAAGAUGGCGAGCCAACUACCCUGAUUGAAGAUUAGCACCGAGGAGAUAUUCACGUAUACACUCAUUCACGCAAAUAAUACACUCACAUUACACUACAAGGAACCUUGGAAUCAGGUGAACUUUCAACAACUCCUUUUAUUUUAAGGGCCCCAACAGACAUUUUUGUUUUAAGUGUGCACACUACUUUUUUUUAUUUUUCUUACUGUUUGGUAUAAUAUUUUGCAUUUUGUACGAACCAGACAAAUUACUUUGUUCACUGUAAAAUAUAAGAGUGGCUACUCAAUUGUUA
Gadus morhua (Atlantic cod) is the source of this 605-nucleotide long non-coding RNA. RefSeq lists it as uncharacterized. The transcript is spliced from 3 exons. The record is from RefSeq and is a predicted model, not a curated record. NCBI's taxonomy places the organism in Eukaryota, Metazoa, Chordata, Actinopteri, Gadiformes, Gadidae.